This 1048-nucleotide long non-coding RNA is filed under the name Numida meleagris (helmeted guineafowl). RNAcentral's name for it is "lncRNA (ENSNMEG00000008113.1)". The record is from RNAcentral. Lineage: Eukaryota; Metazoa; Chordata; Aves; Galliformes; Numididae.
GUAAUCUCAUCCCUGAGUGAAACUGCCGGGUUUCUGCUGAGUCACAGUCAUCAGGGAACGGGGAGAGCAAUUACAGAAGAAAACUGGGAAGGCAUCCCAAACAAAUUGGUUAUAAUUAACAAGUAGAAGAAUAACACCAGUAAUACCAUUAGCAGGCCCAAAAGCCAUUUGCGAUAUAAUAUCUAUAAUUAGACAGGAUCCAGCAAAAGCCGGGGCUGAGCAGCUCACCCUGGGAUGGGAGGGCAGGUGGGGGCUGGGGGGGGGAUGACAGCCCGAUGGCACUGCUCUGGGGGUGCUCAGCACUCAGCAGCACCCAGCAGUGCCCUCCAUCCCCUCCUGGUGCUGGUCCUGACCCACAGGAACCAGUCCAGGACCAUCCCACACAAAGCCAACGCUGCCCAUACCGAUGGCCAUCCCCUUUGCCCACCCCACCCCUCCCGUCCCAAAGUGGGGGAUGUGGGGAGGAAGGCUCUGCGGGGCGGCACAGGCACUGCCCAAACGCAUCUCAUGGAGCAGGGUGUGGUCCAUGGGAGUUUUUCUGGUGGAAGCAGCACCACAGCCCAUGUGCUGAUGCAGCAAGGCUGUGGUCCAUUGCCAGGCACUGGGCUGCACCAGGACCAAAAACCACCCCAUGGCUCUUGCUGCUGGGGCUGCACAAGGGACACAGGGACAAGUGGCCUCAGCAGGGCAGCAGGCACGGCUCUGCCCAUGCUCCUGCACGCUCCUUGCAGGAAAGCCCACGUCCUUCUCUUUGCUGCAUCUUUUAGUUUUGAUUGCUGUGGAGCAGAGAAGGACCAAGGAGGACGCACGGCCGCGGUGCUGCUGCGUGGCUCUGCUCGGAGCGGGCUCUGGGGGCUCAGAGCACCCCAAUGGGAACGGCCCAAGCGUUCUGAGUGGCACUGCUUUCCCCACCCCCACCCCACAGGCGUGACCCUACGGCUGCGGGACGAUGCAGGCGCAGGAUGGAGCCUGUCCUGCAGAACCUCACUGCCAAGAGCAGAUAAAGCCAAGCAUCCCCCCCAAGCAAAACAAACCUGCUGAUAGCCCC